AGAUGGAGUCUCACUCUCUCGCCAGACUGGAGUGCAACGGCACGAUCUCAGCUCACUGCAACCUCCACCUCCCUGGUUCAAGCAAUUCUCCUGCCUCAGCCUCCCGAGUAGCUGGGAUUACAG
RNAcentral lists this long non-coding RNA (123 nucleotides) under Pongo abelii (Sumatran orangutan). Its description in RNAcentral is "lincRNA". The record is from RNAcentral. Lineage: Eukaryota; Metazoa; Chordata; Mammalia; Primates; Hominidae.